This is a long non-coding RNA of Centropristis striata (black sea bass), 213 nucleotides long. RefSeq lists it as uncharacterized. The record is from RefSeq and is a predicted model, not a curated record. The transcript has 3 exons. Lineage: Eukaryota; Metazoa; Chordata; Actinopteri; Perciformes; Serranidae.
UUUGUGCUGUUAUCUCUGGCCUUGUUUGUCUCUUUGUGUCUCAAUGUCAUCUUAUGCAUCCGACGAAAAGCAUCUUCAUGCAAAGACAAAGACGGGUGCUGCUUCACACACAUUUAUACAGGAGAAAGGCCGUCACAGGAGGAAGGACAUCAUUUUUAUAACCUUAAUCGUGAUGAGCAGCAGGAAAAUCAGCCAAAUGAUCACGAGCAGCAG